Molecule: ribosomal RNA, 523 nt
Filed under: uncultured delta proteobacterium
Lineage: Bacteria; Deltaproteobacteria
Description: bacterial SSU rRNA
Rfam family: Bacterial small subunit ribosomal RNA
Source: RNAcentral
CAGAACGAACGCUGGCGGCGUACUUAACACAUGCAAGUCGGACGAGAAAAGAGACUUCGGUCUCCAAGUAUAGUGGCGCACGGGUGCGUAACACGUAAGUAAUCUACCCCGGACUCUGGGAUAACCCUCCGAAAGAAGGGCUAAGACCGGAUAGGGUCCCCGAGGUAUAGGCUGCGGGGGGGAAAACAGGCCUCUAUUUUAAGCUUGUGGUUCGGGAUGAGCUUGCGGCCCAUUAGCUGGUUGGUAGGGUAACGGCCUACCAAGGCGACGAUGGGUAGCUGGUCUGAGAGGAUGAUCAGCCACACUGGCACUGAGACACGGGCCAGACUCCUACGGGAGGCAGCAGUGGGGAAUUUUGCGCAAUGGGCGAAAGCCUGACGCAGUAACGCCGCGUGGAGGAUGAAGGCCUUCGGGUUGUAAACUCCUGUCAGAGGGAACGACGGGGUAGGAGCGAUAAGCUCCUACUUCCAGACGGUACCUUCAAAGGAAGCCCCGGCUAAUUCCGUGCCAGCAGCCGCGGUAA